RNAcentral lists this ribosomal RNA (518 nucleotides) under uncultured bacterium. Its description in RNAcentral is "bacterial SSU rRNA". It matches the Rfam family "Bacterial small subunit ribosomal RNA", at positions 992 to 1509 of the family's 1533-position model. The record is from RNAcentral.
AGAACUUAGCAGAGAUGCUUUGGUGCCUUCGGGAACUCUGAGACAGGUGCUGCAUGGCUGUCGUCAGCUCGUGUUGUGAAAUAGUUGGGUUAAGUCCCGCAACGAGCGCAACCCUUAUCCUUUGUUGCCAGCGGUCCGGCCGGGAACUCAAAGGAGACUGCCAGUGAUAAACUGGAGGAAGGUGGGGAUGACGUCAAGUCAUCAUGGCCCUUACGAGUAGGGCUACACACGUGCUACAAUGGCGCAUACAAAGAGAAGCGACCUCGCGAGAGCAAGCGGACCUCAUAAAGUGCGUCAUAGUCCGGAUUGGAGUCUGCAACUCGACUCCAUGAAGUCGGAAUCGCUAGUAAUCGUAGAUCAGAAUGCUACGGUGAAUACGUUCCCGGGCCUUGUACACACCGCCCGUCACACCAUGGGAGUGGGUUGCAAAAGAAGUAGGUAGCUUAACCUUCGGGAGGGCGCUUACCACUUUGUGAUUCAUGACUGGGGUGAAGUCGUAACAAGGUAAGCGUAGCGAG